Populus trichocarpa (black cottonwood) is the source of this 7419-nucleotide long non-coding RNA. RefSeq lists it as uncharacterized. Lineage: Eukaryota; Viridiplantae; Streptophyta; Magnoliopsida; Malpighiales; Salicaceae. The record is from RefSeq and is a predicted model, not a curated record. The transcript has 2 exons.
AUUCCCCUCACCUUCUUCACCUUCUCAUCCCGAGGCAAAACCUACCAGUAUACAUUCUCUUCCUCCCCCACACCUUGCCUCCUCACUCCAUUCUCUCCCUUUCUCCCCGAGUCCCAGGUCCCUUCUUUAUGGCCUUGAUCACUCGACUUCUCUUCCUAUAAUUCUAUACAUCAUCAAGAAAUAUCAUGAGCUUGUUAGUUAUUUCUCUUCUUCUUCUUCAAACCUUAGUUGAGUUGAUUGCUUGUACAUUCCAUAUGAUAUCUUGACUGAUCCAACCCAAUAGCCAGCUUUUGUUUCUGGAUCAUGCUAAUCAAAUUAGCAUCGCCCCACUUGAUCUCUAUUAACAUAAGCUCAACUCUUUAUAGCUAGUUUUUCAAUUUCUUCUUGGUGCAACGAUAAUCUCUUUCUUUUUGUUUGGAACUAACAAUAAGUUGUAGUUAUUUUGUUGCUAUUGCUUUUGAUCUGUUGUUUUAUUUCUCCCCUAUUGUUUUUGAAUCCCACUUAAUUAAUUAUAAUUGAAUAAUAGGGUUUGCUUUAAUCGAUAUAUUUUCAUACUCGAUCGUGUUUGAUAAAUAUUUUGGAAUAUAUUUAUUAUUUGUCCCUUAAAAAGUCUUGGAUCUUUUUGCUUUUGAAAAUAAGACUUGAAGUUAAUUGACUGAGUUCAAGGAAUAUAUCAUAAGUGAUCAUGAUAUCAAGAUCCCACUCCAUGACUACAACCACCAACAAGAUCACCACCUCCACCUCUUACUCCACCAAUCCACCAUCCUUUUUCUUACCAAGAGAUCUAGAUACCCUAAAUGAUCAUAUUAUUGUCCCUUGAAAAGUAGUUUGGGGCCAUAUCUAGCUAGUUCUUUAUUCAAGUACACCCUUUUCCCUUUUAGUUGGUAAUUAAGUGGUACCGAGCCUGCGACUUUAUAAAAGCUAAAACCAUGUUCGCAUUAUUUUUCAUGAAUUUUUCAUGGUGUCUGUGUGUACAUGUUUCUUCUUGCAUAAUCAUUUGCCUCUUCUUAUAAGAAGAGACACUGUAAUAAUUGCUGGAUGCUAUGGAAACAAAAGAAAGCGAUGUUGGUGAGGUUCAAUCCGAAGACAGAUUUACACGAGUGAAAGUAAAAUCCGAUCUCAGAUUGAGCCGCGCCAAUAUCACUUUUCAGAGCUCUUUGCUUUUCCAGCUUUCACCUCAAAGUAUAUUCUGUCUAUGUUCUUCUCAAAAUUUUCUUUUUGAAAACGGAUGUCUCCAACCUUUGAUCUAUCUUCUCAUUAAUACAUGAAUUUGAUACAUUUUCCCGCCGUGGUCUAUUACUAGAAAAUAAUAUAAAAUAUAUUUUAAAAUUUUAUUUGAUAAUUAAGUUUUUGAAUUGAAAUGAUUCUUUAAUAUUUUAUUUAAAUAUUAUUAAUCAAGUAAUUACUAUAUUGAAUGUCAUCAUUUUUAUUCUAUUUAAUAAAAAAUAAAUAUAAAAUAAUAUGAAUAUGUGUAAAUUUUAAGUAUAAAAACUUUUAUUUAAAAAAAUUUAUAAAAUAAUAGAAUAAAUUAUAUCAUAAAAUAACUAUAAUUAUUCUUCUAAUUCUGAGCAGACGAGGUACAUUUUCCCCUUGUACUAAUUCAGCAUGCAGGUCAAGAAUUAAGUUCUAUCGGGAGCUAGGUACGUACACAAGGUAUGUAACUCCAUUGCUCUCUUUGAUAUCGAUAGAUAAAUAAAUUAGGAUCUUUAAUUAAUAUAGCUUGUUUACGGGAUGUUUAGUCCACUAUAUAUAGUCCAAUUAUUUAUAAACACUAGAAGAUUAAAAUAUUUGAAUACAGACAAUUCUCUCGACAUUGAAGUUACGUGCAAAAGAGCUUGCUAGUAUAUAUGUGUAUGAGUUUUAUAUAUACACUUCCAUAAAAUAUCGAAUCCUAGGAGAGAUCUUCAAAGGUAACAUUAUGGGAUAUCAAGCCAUGUUUUAAGGGAAUUGUUGGGUUAAUUAAUAUUUUAUUAAGUUUUAUUACAAUACAACAAUAAGUUCUUAGUUUAACAUCUAUAAUAGGAGUCCUCGAAAGUAGAAUAUCGUACAAGCUACUUUAAUUACUUUAAUUGAAGAAUAGAUAGGUUAUAGACUAGUAGCUGAGUCCUUAAAUCCCCCAUUAAAUUAAAUCUUUAGAUUAGCCAUAGUAUUCAUCAAUCCAUCCUUCUUUUCUGUUUUCCAGCGUUUAGUGAGGCAGACAGUAGCGAUAUCUCCUCUAAUACUUCAUGUUUUGAGUGUGAAUCUAUUUUAUUUUUUUGAGAAUAAAGAAAUUCAUUCUAAAAGUAUUUCAAUAAUAAAUUUAUUUUAUAUUUAUAUAUUUAUUUAUUCAACCAAAUAUAUUAUUUAUCCUUCACUAACUUAACUAAACGCAACCUAACUAACAGAAAGUUAGUACUGGCCGGAAUUGUUAAUAUUUUCAAACAACAUUAUUUAUGUUACAUUCCUUAAUUCUUUAUAUUGUUUCACAAAUAAAUAAACAAAUGAUUUGUCUUUAUUUAAUUCGAAGUUUGAUAGAUGCAAGUAAACAUAAUUAGGUUUUUCUGUGCAUAUAAAGCCUGAAUAUUCAAUAUAAAUUCUUGUAAAUAUAGAAUCAUUUUUAGGAUAAGAAACAAUUAAUCUCGUUAUACCUUAAUAACUUUCAGCAAUACCUUGUACAAUAUGGCACUGUUCCAACAAAGAAAGAGGUUUCUAUAUAUUAAUUUGUUAUAGAAAUUAAUGGGAAACUUAAAUUAAACCAUACAUAAAUGGCUUCAUUAAUUCUAGGGUUUGGAUAUAUAUAGAGAUAUGUACAAAUAUGGUAAUGACCUAUCUAGCUAGUUGAUCGUACGUAUAAUUGCUUCAACACCAUCUUCUUCUUCUUCUUCUUGGUAGAGAAAAAAGAAAAGGAAAUCCCUGAAUGAAAAAGACAUGCUGAUUUCGAAAGAAGUGCUUUGCUGGACGCCAAUGAAGCUUCUAAAGUGAGUUGCAUUAUUUGGUUUCUGUCGGCACAUUAUUAUUGUAGAUAAAAUAGUGAUCACUAUUGCAUUUUUAUCCCUCCCUUCUAGCUACUAGUCUAAAUUUUCACCCCCCUUUGGGCCCUUCCUAGCUAAGCCAGCAUGAUUUUUCCACGGCCAUUAUCUUUUAGGUUAGUUCCCGUCCAGCUUCAAACAAACUAAUUAAUGCAGAUUGAUUUCUAGAUUGAACUCUGGAACGGUCUAGAUUUAUUAGUACGUACGUAUUGCUCUUUGACGGGUCAUUUUAAGAAAAUUUUUCUUUAGGUUUUUGGACAUGAAUUAUCACCUAUAUCUUCCUUUAAUUCAGCCCUUAUAUUCUCUUUUUUUUUAUAUAGUAAUUGGGUAGAAUUAAAUUAAAAUAGCAUCAUUAAGAAGAUGAUAACUGAAAAAAAAAAACUUACAAUAUAAGUAUUAUUCUCGUCUUUCUUACCUAAUUAAUAAGGUGUCAACUUUCACACCUUCUAACCCUAGCUAGUAAUCAAGACAUAUGAUUAAGGAGAUUUAUUCCCCUCUCAACCUUUUAAGUUCAAAUUUUAAAGUUAUAUCUAGAUAUGUCUUCCAAUACGAGGAUUAUGCCAUUAAAAUACUUUGAAAAUAAGAUUUAAUCUCGAUUUACAUACAAACUAGUCUAAAGAUGAUCCUAGUUGUCGAAACUUCUUCUUUUUUUUUUUUUUUUCCAAUCUGUAGAGUUAAUUACUGUGCAUUGUUGCAUAUAACCAGGGAAAUGGUACUUGAUGAUACCCGCCAAGAAAUCUAGAGAUUUUAAUUUUCUAAUAUAUGGAUUGUGCCAUUAAAAUCUUUCGGGAAUAGGAUUCAAUCUUGAUUAACAGCACAAGUUAAUUCAUGUGCGUUAUUGCUUGUAACAUCCGGAGAACUCAGAAAAUAGGCCCUUGAAACCUCUAGCAGCAGACAACAGCAGUAGAAAAUAUUAAUAAUAGUAAUGAUCCAAUUUCCAUGGCCGACCAUAACAUUCAUCUACUCCUAGCUACUCCAUAGGAAUUUGUGUCAAUUCUCAUGUUACUUUUAGUUAGUGAACCUAGAUCGACUCAAGUCUUGCAUGAUCCCACUUGACUAUGAUUUAUCUAACAUGUUUUGGGCUGGCGAAGCUGUAAUUAUUUGAUAGGAUUAUAGCAUUCAUCGUCUACAGUAUUCAUUCCAAAAAUUAAAUAAAUAUUUUUUGAAAUUUCAUAUUUUCUUUUUAAGAAUUUUACCAAUAUUAAUUAUUUUCUUAAUUAAAGUUGAGGUAUAAUUUAUUUAUUAGUAGUAGUACUUGUAUAUUAUAAUGUUAGUAAUAUGCUAAGGGUACUACAACAAAUAAUAAAAAUGUAUUAAGAAGUUGAUGAUUUUAUAUAUAUAUAACCAAUUGAUAGAUAUCUAUUGGAAGUUGAUGGCGUGGCAUUGUUUCGGCUUUCUCCAUAAGCAAAAGCAUAGCAAUAAGUCCAGCAUUGGGCUCAAGAUGUGUAUAACCUGAUUAAUAAUUUGGCCGACUUGACUUGGAGGAGAGUCUCAGGUGCCGUGAGCUUUAUACGUGGAAAAGAUUAAUUGUAGAGGUAGAGUGUGGUUUAUUUUUUUCUAGAGGUGAAAAUAAAAAGGUAUGAAAAUUUGAUAGUUCCGUACUUAUUCAAUUCAUUUAAGUUAUAAAUUUAUAGAUAAUUUAUCUAUUUUAGGGGCUUUUUUUCUGUUUUGCUCUGGAAAUGUUGUGCACCUUUGUGUUCAUGUGGCUUCUGCUUAAUGGUUGUCUCAGUAAUAAAGGUUUUUUAGCUGAGAGGAAGAUUAUUAAUUAUAAGGAUUCUCUGUGUGUUUUUUUGUUGUUGUUGUGAGGAGAUUGAGAAUAUUAAUCAUCCGUUUCAUCACUGUAUUAUUACAUGGAAUUUCUAGGAUAGAUUCAUGCAUUGGUUUGGGUGUUUAAAUUAUUUAUCCAGUCAGAAGCAAUUUUUAGUGUGAGGCUAUUAUUCUUCUCUACAAAGACUUUUAUUGGUCUAUCUGGUUAGUUUGCAAUCGACUCAUCUUCGAGUCCAAGAUCUAUAAUUGAGAUGUGAUUUUUUAUCUUACCUUUCACUAUUUUUUUUUUGAUUGAAAUCCUCAGUUAGAAACUUCAGUUACAUAAGUUCUGAUUUAAUUAAAAGUUAUAAAUGUAUCUUGAAUUGGAGGAUUUUUAUUUAUUUACAUCUUUUUUUAUAUACUUAAAUUGUAAGUUCUUAUUACUUCAGUUUCCAUCAGGUGUUUUAAUUUAAUUCUACUAUAUCAUUAUAUAUAUAAAAAAAAUACAUAACUUAUUGACAAAUUACGAGAGACAUGGAAAAACUCACAUAAGAGGCAUGUGACGAGAAAAAAACCUAAAAAAUGAGUGGAAAUUCAAGGUAAACUAUAAAUAAGAUAGAAAAAAACGCGAAUUCUAGAUCUGGAAAGGAAAAUGCUCCUGCCGACCAUUUUGGUGAAUUAAACAUAACAAAAGAGAGGACUGUGAGAGACAGGAGAAAGAGAUAGCAAGAGAAACCCUAAAGCCUGUAAUGAUAUUUGCCAAGCUAUACUGAAUGCAUAAGCAUGGCUUAUUAGUUAUUACUGAGCUGAUAGAAUUUCUUCACUGCUUAUGUUCUUAAUUAUGAGUAGUUGCCAACUUUGUUUCCAGGAGAUUUAUAUAACAAUCCCCUGCGUAGAGCAUAUCCUACAGCUUGAAGCACUAUAGAAGACAUCUUGGAGGUGGCCAUGGCUUUAUAUAACCAGUCUAUGUUUGGACAGAACAUAACAGCAAGCCCUGAUGGUUUAGUUUCGACCAAAAUUUGUCAGCUGUCCUCGUUCUCUUGGAACAAAUUUUUAAGCCUAUAGUUGCAAAAAUGGAAGUCUGUGAAUUCGAAACAAAAUAAAGUUGACCUAGCAAACAGCCGAAUGCACAUCAAAUUUUAAUUUUACUAGUCCAACUCUUGUGAACUAUCAUACCAUCUAGGUCUGAGACAAUCUUCACUGGAUUUGGUUCUUUUCACGGCUAAUAAUUGAGCUGAAAGGCGUAAACACCUGCAAAACAAAUUAUUUAUUGAGCCUAGAAGAUUAUCUGAUGUUUAAGUAAAGCUAUAUAAGAAAAGCAGCCUUAAAUGUUAUAUAUUGAAUGUAGCAUAGUGUACUGAUGAAGAUGAUAAUUGCAAGUACAACGAGAAGACAGUAUGUUUGUGUGUGUAUGAAAUUGAUCAUCCUCCCUUGCCUACCUAGUGGUUCAUUGAUGUUUUUAUACCCAUGAACCACGCAUGUGAAAGGGGGUAUAUAUGGGAAAACACUAUAUGACCUAGUUUAGAGGCAAUUAUUCAAGAUAAUAGCCCUUAAUAAUUGAUGUUACACUGUUGAAUGAGAAAGAAUGGUGUCAAGUACUAGGCUAUAUAUAGGGUAUGAACAUGCUUUUAUGUUGUUCGGGCAUGUCUGUCUAGGCAUUACUGUGCCUUCGGGAUAGUGUUGCUACAUUUCAAAGCUAAAUAUAUGGAGAUGUGUAUGUGUUGGGCUAGUUGGAUUAACUGAGCUUCUCAGAGACUGCAUCACACCUCCUAGGUCAAGCAAAAUAGUGAACCAUGUAGUGUAGUGCUAGAAGCCGAAGAAGAGAUAUUCGUGUUUGGAAUUGGGAGAUCCGGAGAGGAUUUGGGGCUGAUAAACUUUGGGCUGGUAAGUGUAGUGGCUCUUAUCUAGUGUCCGUCCUAUGCCAAGACCUGGUGCCAUGGGGUGUAAGUUCUGCAAUCCUAGGCCAAUAAAUGAUGCAAUUAGUUGGGCUAAAUUGUAAGGUGCUGAUCCUGAACCCUGUCACAUACCAAUCAUGCAAUUUCUUCAUUUGCUCUGAACAGCCUAAGAUUUUUUUUGUUUAUCUUUAUCUUUUUUUUCAAAUGAAUUUCAAGAAAUAACUAAUAGCAUAUUACUAUAGUUAUUGUAUUAGCAGCAUAAAUUUUCUCGUAUAUAUAACUAGUCAUAAGAACAUUAUCAAUGCUGAAGUUCUAUCAGUUGAGUGAUAGCAACUGAUUCACUUUAUGUCCUUCAAUGUUGUAUCCUAGCUGGCUUCAAAUUAACAUGCGGACUACCUUCGAUUUGAGUAACUAAUUACUUUUACAGUGCGAGUGAUUACUAUUUAGUAAGAAAAUUAGAGCCCUAAAAGGGGCCUUAGUGCUCUCAUACAAAAAAAAGAGAUGGACAACUUGGAGGUAGAGCCAUGGUGUUCGUUGCUGAUGGCAAGCAUAUUCUAAAAAGGAGUUGCUGAUGGCUGUACUAUUCACAUAGCAAAGAGAAUUUUUACUGUCUCCUUUUAAGAAAUGACUGGCAUUAUAAAUUAAAGCAAGAUAAGAUUCUAAUGUGAGUGCAUGCAUAUAUGAUAAAAUGCACGUCAUUUGAAACCUUUACUGUAACCUUUCUGUGAAUUGUAAGUUAAAAGCAAAAUGAGAUUCUAGUUUGAAUAUGA